CGCAUCUGUGCAUGCAGCAUAUCAAUAAGCGGAGGAAAAGAAACUAACAAGGAUUCCCCUAGUAACGGCGAGUGAAGCGGGAAGAGCUCAAAUUUGAAAUCUUAAAGGGUUUCCCUUUACGAAUUGUAGUUUAAAGAAGUGUUUUCUGUUGAGGUUUUGGUAAAAGUUCUUUGGAAUAGGACAUCAUAGAGGGUGAGAAUCCCGUAUUUGACCUUUACUUUCAACUUUGUGAUACACUUUCAAAGAGUCGGAUUGUUUGGGAAUGCAGUCCAAAAUGGGUGGUAAAUUUCAUCUAAAGCUAAAUAUUGGCGAGAGACCGAUAGCGAACAAGUACCGUGAGGGAAAGAUGAAAAGAACUUUGAAAAGAGAGUUAAACAGUACGUGAAAUUGUCAAGAGGGAAGCGUUUGACACCAGUGUUGUUUUUCUGAAAAUCAAUUAAAGAACUGUUUAUGCUAAGUUGUUUAGACUUUAUCAGCUACUGUUUAGUUUUAGGCUUUUCUUUAAUGCACUUUUCAGUUAACAAGUCAACAUCAAUUUCUUUUGCUGUAAAAAAGCUUGAGGAAGGUGGCUUGAGAUUCGUCUUAAGUGUUUAUAGCCUCUUGCCUAUGCAGUCGGAGAGAUUGAGGUCUGCAGCGUAGAUCCUUCGGGGCUAAAUGCAUUUGUGCUAAGUUAUAGCAUUUUAUAGACAACUUGUUGACUAUGAUUUGUCUCGUAGCUUACUCGCUUAUGUUAUUUUACCUACGCUUAGGAUGUUGAACGCGCACAGAGCUC
This 772-nucleotide ribosomal RNA is filed under the name uncultured Neocallimastigales. Its description in RNAcentral is "partial large subunit ribosomal RNA". It matches the Rfam family "Eukaryotic large subunit ribosomal RNA", at positions 26 to 608 of the family's 3401-position model. The record is from RNAcentral. Lineage: Eukaryota; Fungi; Neocallimastigomycota; Neocallimastigomycetes; Neocallimastigales.